This 2726-nucleotide long non-coding RNA is filed under the name Capsicum annuum. RNAcentral's name for it is "long non-coding RNA (CANN_LNC020445)". The record is from RNAcentral. Lineage: Eukaryota; Viridiplantae; Streptophyta; Magnoliopsida; Solanales; Solanaceae.
CUUCUAAAGUCCCUAAACUUAACCAUUUUCAACCAACCAAGUCGCCUAACAAAACCACAAUCCAAAACAUAAUCCUCUUCUAAAGUCCCUAAACUUAACCAUUUUCGAGCAUCUAAGUGUCAAAACAAAACCACAUUCCAAAACAAAAAUUCAUUUUAAAGUCCCUAAACUUAACCAUUUUCAACCAACCAAGUCACCUAACAAAACCACAUUCCAAAACAAAAUCUCCUUCUAAAGUCCCUUAACUAUUUUCGAGCAUCUAAGUGUCAAAACAAAACCACAUUCCAAAACAAAAAUCCCUUCUAAAGUCCACAAACUUAACCAUUUUCGAGCAUUUAAGUGUCAAAAUAAAACCACAUUCCAAAAUAAAAAUCUAUUUUAAAGUCCCUAAACUUAACUAUUUUCGGACAAGUAAGUGUCAAAACAAAACAACAUUCCAAAACAAAAAUCCCUUCUAUAGUCCACAAACUUAACCAUUUUCGAGCAUCUAAGUGUCAAAACAAAACCACAUUCCAAAAUAAAAAUCCAUUUUAAAGUCCCUAAACUUAACCAUUUUCAACCAACCAAGUCACCUAACCAAACCACAUUCCAAAACAAAAAUCACUUCUAAAGUCCGUAAACUUAACCAUUUUCGAGAAUCAAAGUGUCAAAACAAAACCACAUUCAAAAAUAAAAAUCCCUUUUAAAGUCCCUAAACUUAACCAUUUCCAACCAACCAAGUCACCUAACAAAACCACAUUCCAAAAUAAAAAUCUCUUCUAAAGUUCUUAAACUUAACCAUUUUCGAGCAUCUAAGCGUCAAAAUAAAACCACAUUCCAAAACAAAAAUCCCUUUUAAAGUCCCUUAACUUAACCAUUUUCAACCAACCAAGUCACCCAACAAAACCACAUUCCAAAAUAAAAAUCUCCUCUAAAGUCCAUAAACUUAACCAUUUCCGAGCAUCUAAGUGUCAAAACAAAACCACAUUCCAAAACAAAAAUCCCUUCUAAAGUUCACAAAUUGAACCAUUUUCGAGCAUCUAAGUGUCAAAACGAAACAACAUUCCAUAUCAAAAAUCUCUUUUAUAGACCCUAAACCUAACACUUUUUAACCAAGUGUCAAAACAAAACCACAUUCCAAAACAAAAAUCCCUUCUAAAGUCCCUAAACUUAACAAUUUUCAACCAACCAAGUCACCUAACAAAACCACAUUCCAAAACAAAAUACCCUUCAAAAGUCCCUAAACUUAACCAUUUUGGAGCAUCUCUGUGUCAAAACAAAAUUUCAUUACAAAAAAAAAUCCCUUCUAAAGUCCGUAAACUUAACCAUUUUCGAGCAUCUAAGUGUCAAAAUAAAAUCACAUUUCAGAACAAAAAUCUCUUUUAAAGUCUCUAAACCUAACACUUUUUAUCCAAGUGUCAAAACAAAACCACAUUCCAAAACAAAAAUCCCUUCUAAAGUCCCUAAACUUAACCAUUUUCAACCAACCAAGUCACCUAACAAAACCCUAUUCCAAAACAUAAUCCCCUUCUAAAGUCCCUAAACUUAACCAUUUUCGAGCAUCUAAGUGUCAAAACAAAACCACAUUCCAAAACAAAAAAUUAUUUUAAAGUCCCUAAACUUAACCAUUUUCAACCAACCAAGUCACCUAACAAAACCCUAUUCCAAAACAUAAUCCCCUUCUAAAGUCCCUAAACUUAACCAUUUUCGAGCAUCUAAGUGUCAAAACAAAACCACAUUCCAAAAAGAAAUCCCUUCUAAAGUCCGUACACUUAACCAUUAUCGAGCAUCCAAGUGUCAAAACAAAAUCACAUUCCAAAACAAAAAUCUCUUUUAAAGUCCCUAAACCUAACACUUUUUUUCCAAGUAUCAUAACAAAAGCACAUUUCCAAACAAAAAUCCCUUCUAAAGUCCCUAAACUUAACCAUUUUCAACCAACCAAGUCACCAAACAAAACCACAUUCCAAAACAUAAUGCCUUUCUAAAGUCCCUAAACUUAACCAUUUUCGAGCAUCUAAGUGUCAAAAGAAAAUCACAUUCCAAAACAAAAAUCCAUUUUAAAAUUCCUAAACUUAACCAUUUUCUACCAACCAAGUCACCUAACAAAACCACAUUCCAAAACAAAAUCUCCUUCUAAAGUCCCUAAACUUAACCAUUUUCGAGCAUCUAUGUGUCAAAACAAAACCACAUUCUAAAACCAAAAUCCAUUUUAAAGUUCCUAAACUUAACCAUUUUCAACCGACCAAGUCACCUAACAAAAUCACAUUCCAAAACAAAAUCCCCUUCUAAAAUCCCUAAACUUAACCAUUUUCGAGCAUCUAAGUAUCAAAACAAAACCACAUUCCAAAACAAAAAUCCAUUUUAAAAUCCCUAAACUUAACUAUUUUCAACCAACUAAGUCGCCUAACAAAACCACAUUACAAAACAAAAUCCCCUUCUAAAGUCCCUAAACUUAACCAUUUUCAAGCAUCUAAGUGUCAAAACGAAACCACAUUCCGAAAUAAAAAUCCAUUUUAAAGUCCCCUAAACUUAACCAUUUUCAAUCAACCACGUCACCUAACAAAACCACAUUCCAAAACAAAAUCCCCUUCUAAAGUCCCUAAACUUAACCAUUUUCGAGCAUCUAAGUGUCAAAACAAAAUCACAUUCCAAAACAAAAAUCCCUUUUAAAGUCCCUAAACUUAACCAUUUUCAACCAACCAAGUCACCUAAAAAAACCACAUUCCAAAAUAAAAAUCUCUUUUAAA